AUUGAACGCUGGCGGCAGGCCUAACACAUGCAAGUCGAGCGGAUGAAGGGAGCUUGCUCCUGGAUUCAGCGGCGGACGGGUGAGUAAUGCCUAGGAAUCUGCCUGGUAGUGGGGGAUAACGUCCGGAAACGGGCGCUAAUACCGCAUACGUCCUGAGGGAGAAAGUGGGGGAUCUUCGGACCUCACGCUAUCAGAUGAGCCUAGGUCGGAUUAGCUAGUUGGUGGGGUAAAGGCCUACCAAGGCGACGAUCCGUAACUGGUCCGAGAGGAUGAUCAGUCACACUUGAACUGAGACACGGUCCAGACUCCUACGGGAGGCAGCAGUGGGGAAUAUUGGACAAUGGGCGAAAGCCUGAUCCAGCCAUGCCGCGUGUGUGAAGAAGGUCUUCGGAUUGUAAAGCACUUUAAGUUGGGAGGAAGGGCAGUAAGUUAAUACCUUGCUGUUUUGACGUUACCAACAGAAUAAGCACCGGCUAACUUCGUG
RNAcentral lists this ribosomal RNA (484 nucleotides) under uncultured bacterium. RNAcentral's name for it is "partial 16S ribosomal RNA". It matches the Rfam family "Bacterial small subunit ribosomal RNA", at positions 30 to 507 of the family's 1533-position model. The record is from RNAcentral.